AUUGAACGCUGGCGGCAGGCCUUACACAUGCAAGUCGAGCGGCAGCAGGGGUGCUGGCCCUUGGUGGAGCGGGGCGCGCGGGAGUGAUGUCCAGCGAAACGCGUGGUGGAGUGGGAUAAAGCCCGGCAAAGGGCGCUUAAAUAGCACACACGAUGAGGGGGAGAGAGCGGGAGCCCUGCGCGCCACGCGCUAAGAGGAGGGUCGAUGGCUGAUUAGCUAGUUGGUGGGGUAAAGGCCUACCAAGGCGACGAUCCGUAGCUGGUCUGAGAGGACGACCAGCCACACUGGGACUGAGACACGGCCCAGACUCCUACGGGAGGCAGCAGUGGGGAAUUUUGGACAAUGGGCGAAAGCCUGAUCCAGCCAUGCCGCGUGUGUGAAGAAGGUCUUCGGGUUGUAAAGCACUUUUGUCUGGGAAGAAAUCCAUUGCGUUAAUACCGUCGUGUGAUGACGUUACCGGCAGAAUAAGCACCGGCUAACUUCGUG
This 486-nucleotide ribosomal RNA is filed under the name uncultured bacterium. Its description in RNAcentral is "partial 16S ribosomal RNA". It matches the Rfam family "Bacterial small subunit ribosomal RNA", at positions 29 to 507 of the family's 1533-position model. The record is from RNAcentral.